Molecule: ribosomal RNA, 292 nt
Filed under: uncultured Alphaproteobacteria bacterium
Lineage: Bacteria; Pseudomonadati; Pseudomonadota; Alphaproteobacteria
Description: partial 16S ribosomal RNA
Source: RNAcentral
GGACUACUGGGGUAUCUAAUCCUGUUUGCUCCCCACGCUUUCGCACCUCAGCGUCCAGUAUGAGCCAGUGAGCCGCCUUCGCCACUGGUGUUCUUCCGAAUAUCUACGAAUUUCACCUCUACACUCGGAAUUCCACUCACCUCUCUCACCUGCUAGCUCGGCAGUCUUAAAGGCAAUUCUGGAGUUGAGCUCCAGGCUUUCACCUCUAACUUACCAAGCCGCCUACGUGCGCUUUACGCCCAGUAAUUCCGAACAACGCUAGCCCCCUCCGUAUUACCGCGGCGGCUGGCAC